RNAcentral lists this ribosomal RNA (333 nucleotides) under Triticum aestivum (bread wheat). Its description in RNAcentral is "partial small subunit ribosomal RNA". The record is from RNAcentral. Lineage: Eukaryota; Viridiplantae; Streptophyta; Magnoliopsida; Poales; Poaceae.
AUGGACCAAUCCAAUGCAGCAGAUCAGGAUGAACUGGAGACAUUAAUGGAGUUGAAGAGGAUAACAAAGAUUGCCAAAUUUAGGAAACAUAAGAUUGCAGCUGAGCAUGUAAAUAAGGUUAAGCAGAAGCUACCAAUUCUUCUAACUGAAGAUGAUUCAGAUAUGGAUGCAGAUGAGGACUAUCUUCAGAGGCUUAAUGAGAUGAGGAAGCAAAGAGAGGAUCCACUCAUUCAUUUUGAUGGAGACAUUGAUGUGGAUGAAGUGUAUGAGGAAGAUGAGGAAGGGCAACAUGCAUGUGGAGGUGGAGCAAGAGGAGCAGGUGGAGCAAGAUGA